UUUUUGGGUUUAAAAGCUCUUAUAAAGUUAUAAAUCGCUGGAGCAAAAGCCAAAUCAUGUGUUUUCCGUGGCUUCUCUUUCAUAGAAUUUUACUGAUUUUUCUUUUUCUUGCGAUGUCUGAUUGCGCCCACUGUUUUGUUUUGCAGGGAUAAUCGAAACUGUUAUUGAUUGAAAUGACGUCUGUUAUUGAUGUUGUUGCUUCUUUUGCUCCAGCUGGUGUGUAUAAUAACAGAAAGAAAUUAGGGCGAGAUUUUUCCAGCAUCAGCAUGUAUAGUUGGGGUUUUCAAAAUCAUUGUUUCUGUACUUCUCAAUCACAAGGUAUCCUCGAAUUUGUUAGCCCUGCAAAUGUUAAUGUGAAUGGGAUGGCAAAUGAAAAGUUAUUUCAAUAGGAUUUCUGAUAAAAUUUCGCACGGAAGAAAUUGGAUGAUGCCCUGUACUGAAAAGAUGUGUUGGUCCUUUUAGCGUGUGAUUAAAAGGGUUUGCAAUCAUCACAUAAUGGAGCUGAAAGUUCCAACGGAGAGGAACUAAUAUGCUACGACUGAAUUUCUUGGCAAGUUCCUUUUGGAUUUUUGGCACCUGUAGCAACACCAACAGUUAUACUUCACACAAGCUACUCGAUCCAUUCAUUUGAAAGGAUAAUGAUUCAUUUUUAAAUAGAAAAUAUAUGCAUUUCUUCAAUGUGAUUUGUGCACACUGUAAUCAGAAUAUUGUGGUCAGUAAACACCUUUCCUCCAGUUUGGUGUAUAAAAAUGUGUGAAUCAGCCAUCUGGUAUAUGGACUUAUUUGUAGUUUAAUUAUAUUUUGCAGUCAAUCUAUUUUAUUUUAAGUUUUAUA
Papaver somniferum (opium poppy) is the source of this 834-nucleotide long non-coding RNA. RefSeq lists it as uncharacterized. The record is from RefSeq and is a predicted model, not a curated record. The transcript has 4 exons. NCBI's taxonomy places the organism in Eukaryota, Viridiplantae, Streptophyta, Magnoliopsida, Ranunculales, Papaveraceae.